UACGGAGGAUGCGAGCGUUAUCCGGAUUUAUUGGGUUUAAAGGGUGCGUAGGUGGUUAAUUAAGUCAGCGGUGAAAGUUUGUGGCUCAACCAUAAAAUUGCCGUUGAAACUGUUUUUCUUGAGUGAAGUAGAGGCAGGCGGAAUUCCGAGUGUAGCGGUGAAAUGCAUAGAUAUCACGCAGAACUCCGAUUGCGAAGGCAGCUUACUAAACUAUAACUGACACUGAAGCACGAAAGCGUGGGGAUCAA
Molecule: ribosomal RNA, 248 nt
Filed under: uncultured Parabacteroides sp.
Lineage: Bacteria; Pseudomonadati; Bacteroidota; Bacteroidia; Bacteroidales; Tannerellaceae
Description: partial 16S ribosomal RNA
Rfam family: Bacterial small subunit ribosomal RNA
Source: RNAcentral